AGAGUAUAGCAGAGGCAGGGUGUAAACUCUGCUCCUCAGCCUGCUCAAUCCUCAACUCACCUUACCAGUCGGUUAUGAGGAAGAAAGUUUCUAGUUCCUUUAACUUCCCAGAGAACUCUGCGCAAAGCAGAAAGAAAAACAUUGCUGAACAUUGCCACAAUGCUGAUUGAUGAAUAGUCGGCCUGAUGGUUAAUAUUGAGUGUCAACUCGAUCAGAUUGAAGGAUGAAAAGUUUUGUUCCUGGGUGUGUCUGUGAGGGUGUUGCCAAAGGAGAUUAACAUUUGAGUCAGUGGAUUGGGAGAGGCAGACCCACCCUCAAUCUGGGUGGGUCUAAUCAGCUGCCAGUGUGGCUAGAAUAAAAUCAAGCAGAAGAAUGUGGAAAUGCUAGACUGGCUGAGUCUUCCGGCCAUCUUUCUCCCGUGCUGGGUGCUUCCUGCCCUCAAACAUUGGACUCCAAGUUCUUCAGCUUUUGGACUCUUGGAUUUACACCAGUGGUUCGCCAGGGGCUCUAGGGCCUUCAGCCACAGACUGAAGGCUGCCCUGUCGGCUUCCCUAUUUUUGAGGUUUUGGGACUUGGACUGGCUUCCUUGCUCCUCAGCUUGCAGAUAGCCUACUGUGGGACUUCACCUUGUGAUCGUAGACAGGGUCUGGCUAUGUUACUCAGGCUGGUUUCAAACUUCUGGCCUCAAGCAAUCCUCCCGCCUCGGCCUUCAAAAGUGUUGGGACUAUAGGCCCAGCCUCACCUCCCCAUUUUAACAAUCUACUACACAGCUCUGAAUCUUUCAACUUCCACCAAAAAAAAACAAAACAAAACACUUGCAUGGUUCCCUAUUGUCUAGGCCACAAAAUCCAAGAUCCUAGACCUGAAACUCAAAACCUCCAUGCUCUGACUCUCCUGUAGUCCAUGCUCUGACUCCAGCAUAAUUCUCCAGCCUCAUCACCUUCAGCUUUCCAUCACUCAUUUGCCUGACAAUUCAGCCAAUCAAGACUAGCUGCUGUUCUUUCAAUACACCUUACAUUUCCUCUACUUUAAGCCUUUCCCUCAUGCUGUGCCCUUCUUCUGGAAUGCUCACCAACUCCCACCUCCACUUCUCCAAGUCCCUGAAAUCAAGCCCAGCUGGAUGGCUACUACUCCAAGGAAGGCUCAUUUCUGCUGAAUGCACACCAGCUCCAAUCCUCCAAGGCAAAUACUCCUGCCCCUUCACCACCUGGUCCUCAGCCCUUUUCUCAUGGUGCAGUUCAUCUAUGAAAGAGACUGAGCCCCUAUGAGUGAGGGUGAUGUCAACACAACAGCAGGCACCCUUGGUAACCAAGUCAGCUUCCAUAUUGAUCAGGACUCUUUUGAUUGCAAGAAACCAAACUCGGAUCUUUAUAAAAGCAAAGGUAAUUGACUCAGUCAGAAGCACAUACAGCACGAGAGUUGUAGGCAUGGCUACACUUAAGCCAUCCCUUUAUCUGGCUUUCAUUAGAGCCUCGGCCGCGCCUCUUUUGUGGGAGAGACUUGAGGGAGCCGAGGCAGUUUCCCAGCCGCUGUGAUGUUGCUAAAGAUUAAAAAGGAGCUUUGAAGCUGCACCAGUUCUCUCUGUGCCCCCUCGGUACAGGACCUCAGAAAGACCCAAGCCAUCUGGCAAACCUGACAUAAAGACAAAAUAAAGUGAUUGAAACAGUCUCUUCAAAGCCACAAUGGCAGAUUUGUUGAUUUGGGCGU
Molecule: long non-coding RNA, 1707 nt
Filed under: Homo sapiens (human)
Lineage: Eukaryota; Metazoa; Chordata; Mammalia; Primates; Hominidae
Description: HSALNT0385865
Source: RNAcentral